RNAcentral lists this transfer RNA (76 nucleotides) under Alistipes shahii WAL 8301. It matches the Rfam family "tRNA". Rfam says of the family: Transfer RNA (tRNA) molecules are approximately 80 nucleotides in length. Their secondary structure includes four short double-helical elements and three loops (D, anti-codon, and T loops). Lineage: Bacteria; Pseudomonadati; Bacteroidota; Bacteroidia; Bacteroidales; Rikenellaceae. The record is from RNAcentral.
GGUGCCAUAGCUCAGUUGGUAGAGCAAAGGACUGAAAAUCCUUGUGUCACUGGUUCGAUUCCCGUUGGCACCACGA